UACGAAGGGGGCUAGCGUUGCUCGGAAUCACUGGGCGUAAAGCGCACGUAGGCGGCUUUCUACGUCAGGGGUGAAAUCCUGGAGCUCAACUCCAGAACUGCCUUUGAUACUGGAGAGCUUGAGUCCGGAAGAGGUGAGUGGAACUCCGAGUGUAGAGGUGAAAUUCGUAGAUAUUCGGAAGAACACCAGUGGCGAAGGCGGCUCACUGGUCCGGUACUGACGCUGAGGUGCGAAAGCGUGGGGAGCAAACAGG
This 253-nucleotide ribosomal RNA is filed under the name uncultured bacterium. RNAcentral describes it as "partial 16S ribosomal RNA". It matches the Rfam family "Bacterial small subunit ribosomal RNA", at positions 524 to 776 of the family's 1533-position model. The record is from RNAcentral.